RNAcentral lists this long non-coding RNA (1378 nucleotides) under Heterocephalus glaber (naked mole-rat). RNAcentral describes it as "lncRNA (ENSHGLG00000041876.1)". The record is from RNAcentral. Lineage: Eukaryota; Metazoa; Chordata; Mammalia; Rodentia; Bathyergidae.
CCCCUCUUUGUUUACAGUCUUUAUUUCACGGUGUUUGAUGGACUUAUACUGGAGUUAGUAACAAGACCCCAGACGCUCCCUCCUGCCUCCCCCUCCCCUGCAGGGGGGCCAGGCUGCCACCCUAGCAGCCUUGGAUGGCCCUUGAACAGUUUGCACAGAGGGCGGGGAGUGGUGAGGAUGGACGCUAUGGUUUAAGGCGUUUCCAGCUCCACUGCCAUCUCUGCCACACCGGCCCCUGGCCUUCGGCUUUGGUCAGGCACCAGGCUGUCCGCUCUCAGAUGAGCACAGCCUCCCUCAUGUGGACCUGGUCUGCAACCUGUACUGCUCUGGGGUCAGGGCAGGACAAAAGGUGUGACCUUCGGGCAUCAAACGAGACCAAUGUUUGAAAACGCGGUGGGUGUCAGGCCCGGACACCCACCCCUGAGGGAAGGAGCCCACGCCACACAGCGGACCCCUCCUUGAGGAGCUCCUCACUGGGCCUGAGUGUAGGAAGGGGGCUACAUCCAGGGUGGGUGGGCCAGGCCGAGUGAGGGUGCCCUAGGGGAGCCUGGCCAUGGACUCUGUUCCCCGGCACCCUGGGGCUAGCAGACACACUGGGGGCGUGGGGCCUGGGCCCAAAAGGAACAUUGUUUCUAAGUCACAGUACUGGCACGGAGGGCCCCGGGCUCCAGGCUAGCCCAGAUGAGGCUCGCCCACAGGACACACAGGCAAGAGCAGUGUAAGUGGGAACCAGAAGGCCCCAGGGGCUUGCUCGGAGGAAGGCCCCAUCCAAUCCAGCUGCUCCCCUGCUCUGGGACAUGGACCUCAUCUGACAAAACAUGGUAACAUGGGGAGUGGAGUCUGCCAACGGGGUCAGGAAUGCCAGGGACCGACAGGUGAACACGCUGGGGACACAGUGCACAGGGCUGUGGCAGAGGGGCAAGUCCUGAGGCUGCCAUACAGCACUGUGGGGCCUGGACACCAGGCCUCUGCAGCACAGCUGCCUGGACAGAAAAGAGGCCAGGUCAGCAGUCCCUCUGGCCAACACACAGGCAAGAAAAUCAUAUUGAAAAGCAACAAGUUUACAAAAAUAAAAAAUAAUUACAGCAGGGUGGGCUGGGGCUUGGGUGCCGGUCAGGGGGUGGGGCAGGGCCGCAGCUCCGGCCUGGCGACUGCAUCUUCCAGCAGGUGCAGCGGGCGCCCACUCACCACCACGUCCCGCAGGCAGCCCACGAAGCCUGUGCUAUAGGCCUUGGGUAGGGCCUGGCCCACGGGCAGCUUCCGAAGCCCCCCUGCAGGACAGACAGAGGGAAAUCACUCAGCUGCUGUGAUGGGCAGAGGGCCAUCGGCGCCUGGGAACAGCGCCCAGCUGCUGUGUCCACGCACGCACUCCUCCUCC